This 833-nucleotide ribosomal RNA is filed under the name uncultured Gammaproteobacteria bacterium. RNAcentral's name for it is "bacterial SSU rRNA". It matches the Rfam family "Bacterial small subunit ribosomal RNA", at positions 64 to 885 of the family's 1533-position model. The record is from RNAcentral. Lineage: Bacteria; Pseudomonadati; Pseudomonadota; Gammaproteobacteria.
GACAUUUUGAUUUUGCUUGCAAAAUCUCGUGCUGACGAGCGGCGAACGGGUGAGUAACGCGUAGGAAUCUACCUAGUAGAAGGGGAUAGCCCGAGGAAACUCGGAUUAAUACCGUAUACGUCCUUAGGGAGAAAGAGGGCUUAGCUUUGAUGCUCUCGCUAUUAGAUGAGCCUGCGUAAGAUUAGCUUGUUGGUGAGGUAAAGGCUCACCAAGGCAACGAUCUUUAGCUGGUCUGAGAGGACGAUCAGCCACAUUGGGACUGAGACACGGCCCAGACUCCUACGGGAGGCAGCAGUGGGGAAUAUUGGACAAUGGGCGCAAGCCUGAUCCAGCCAUACCGCGUGUGUGAAGAAGGCCUUCGGGUUGUAAAGCACUUUAAGUAAGGAAGAAAAGAGUAUUGUUAAUACCAAUACUCCGUGACAUUACUUACAGAAUAAGGACCGGCUAAUUCCGUGCCAGCAGCCGCGGUAAUACGGAAGGUCCAAGCGUUAAUCGGAAUUACUGGGCGUAAAGCGCGCGUAGGUGGUUUAUUAAGUUGGGUGUGAAAGCCCCGGGCUCAACCUGGGAACUGCAUUCAAAACUGAUUCACUAGAGUACGAAAGAGGAAAGUAGAAUUCACAGUGUAGCGGUGGAAUGCGUAGAUAUUGUGAAGAAUACCGAUGGCGAAGGCAGCUUUCUGGUUCUGUACUGACACUGAGGUGCGAAAGCGUGGGUAGCGAACAGGAUUAGAUACCCUGGUAGUCCACGCCGUAAACGAUGACAACUAGCUGUUGGGAAGCUAUGCUUUUCAGUGGCGCAGCUAACGUCUUAAGUUGUCCGCCUGGGGAGUACGG